Molecule: ribosomal RNA, 487 nt
Filed under: uncultured bacterium
Lineage: Bacteria
Description: bacterial SSU rRNA
Rfam family: Bacterial small subunit ribosomal RNA
Source: RNAcentral
AGUGAACGCUGGCGGCAGGCCUAAUACAUGCAAGUCGAACGGCAGCACAGCAGAGCUUGCUCUGUGGGUGGCGAGUGGCGGACGGGUGAGGAAUACAUGGGAAUCUGCCCAGUCGUGGGGGAUAACGUAUGGAAACGUACGCUAAUACCGCAUGCGCCCUACGGGGGAAAGCCGGGGACCGCAAGGCCUGGCGCGAUUGGAUGAGCCCAUGUUCGAUUAGCUAGUUGGCGGGGUAAAGGCCCACCAAGGCGACGAUCGAUAGCUGGUCUGAGAGGAUGAUCAGCCACACUGGAACUGAGACACGGUCCAGACUCCUACGGGAGGCAGCAGUAGGGAAUAUUGGACAAUGGGGGCAACCCUGAUCCAGCCAUGCCGCGUGAGUGAAGAAGGCCCUCGGGUUGUAAAGCUCUUUUGUCCGGAAAGAAAGCAAUCGGUUAAUACCCGGUUGUUCUGACGGUACCGGAAGAAUAAGCACCGGCUAACUUCG